GACGAACGCUGGCGGCGUGCCUAAUACAUGCAAGUUGAGCGCUGAAGGUUGGUACUUGUACCAACUGGAUGAGCAGCGAACGGGUGAGUAACGCGUGGGGAAUCUGCCUUUGAGCGGGGGACAACAUUUGGAAACGAAUGCUAAUACCGCAUAAAAACUUUAAACACAAGUUUUAAGUUUGAAAGAUGCAAUUGCAUCACUCAAAGAUGAUCCCGCGUUGUAUUAGCUAGUUGGUGAGGUAAAGGCUCACCAAGGCGAGGAUACAUAGCCGACCUGAGAGGGUGAUCUGCCACAUUGGGACUGAGACACGGCCCAAACUCCUACGGGAGGCAGCAGUAGGGAAUCUUCGGCAAUGGACGAAAGUCUGACCGAGCAACGCCGCGUGAGUGAAGAAGGUUUUCGGAUCGUAAAACUCUGUUGGUAGAGAAGAACGUUGGUGAGAGUGGAAAGCUCAUCAAGUGACGGUAACUACCCAGAAAGGGACGGCUAACUACGUG
Molecule: ribosomal RNA, 497 nt
Filed under: uncultured bacterium
Lineage: Bacteria
Description: partial 16S ribosomal RNA
Rfam family: Bacterial small subunit ribosomal RNA
Source: RNAcentral